Vombatus ursinus (common wombat) is the source of this 103-nucleotide small nuclear RNA. Lineage: Eukaryota; Metazoa; Chordata; Mammalia; Diprotodontia; Vombatidae. The record is from Ensembl.
UUGCUUCAUUAGCACACAUACUAAAAUUAGAACUAUAGGGAGAAUGUCAGCAGGCUCCUUGAACAAGAAAGAUCUACAAAGUCAUGAAACACUGCACAUUUUU